This 517-nucleotide ribosomal RNA is filed under the name uncultured bacterium. RNAcentral describes it as "bacterial SSU rRNA". It matches the Rfam family "Bacterial small subunit ribosomal RNA", at positions 8 to 518 of the family's 1533-position model. The record is from RNAcentral.
AGGGUUCGAUUCUGGCUCAGGAUGAACGCUAGCGACAGGCUUAACACAUGCAAGUCGAGGGGCAGCAUAAAAGUAGCAAUACUUGGUGGCGACCGGCGCACGGGUGAGUAACGCGUAUGCAACCUACCUAUCAGAGGGGAAUAACCCGGCGAAAGUCGGACUAAUACCGCAUAAAACAGGGGCACCGCAUGGUGAUAUUUGUUAAAGAAAUUCGCUGAUAGAUGGGCAUGCGUUCCAUUAGGUAGUUGGUGAGGUAACGGCUCACCAAGCCGACGAUGGAUAGGGGAACUGAGAGGUUGGUCCCCCACACUGGUACUGAGACACGGACCAGACUCCUACGGGAGGCAGCAGUGAGGAAUAUUGGUCAAUGGGCGGGAGCCUGAACCAGCCAAGUCGCGUGAAGGAAGAAGGAUCUAUGGUUCGUAAACUUCUUUUGCAGGGGAAUAAAGUGCAGGACGUGUCCUGUUUUGUAUGUACCCUGAGAAUAAGGAUCGGCUAACUCCGUGCCAGCCGCCGC